CCAGACUCCUACGGGAGGCAGCAGUGGGGAAUAUUGGACAAUGGGGGGAACCCUGAUCCAGCGACGCCGCGUGAGUGAGGAAGUAUUUCGGUAUGUAAAGCUCUAUCAGCAGGGAAGAAAGAAAUGACGGUACCUGACUAAGAAGCCCCGGCUAACUACGUGCCAGCAGCCGCGGUAAUACGUAGGGGGCAAGCGUUAUCCGGAUUUACUGGGUGUAAAGGGAGCGUAGACGGUUACGCAAGUCUGGAGUGAAAGGCCGGGGCCCAACCCCCGGACUGCUUUGGAAACUGUAUAACUGGAGUGCAGGAGAGGUAAGUGGAAUUCCUAGUGUAGCGGUGAAAUGCGUAGAUAUUAGGAGGAACACCAGUGGCGAAGGCGGCUUACUGGACUGUAACUGACGUUGAGGCUCGAAAGCGUGGGGAGCAAACAGGAUUAGAUACCCCUGUAAC
Molecule: ribosomal RNA, 449 nt
Filed under: uncultured bacterium
Lineage: Bacteria
Description: bacterial SSU rRNA
Rfam family: Bacterial small subunit ribosomal RNA
Source: RNAcentral